Molecule: transfer RNA, 53 nt
Filed under: Limnius volckmari
Lineage: Eukaryota; Metazoa; Arthropoda; Insecta; Coleoptera; Elmidae
Description: tRNA-Val
Source: RNAcentral
CAAAGUGGAGCUUGAUGAGUUAAGCAUUUCAUUUACACUGAAAAGUCACUGUG